This 143-nucleotide ribosomal RNA is filed under the name Salmonella enterica. Its description in RNAcentral is "partial 23S ribosomal RNA". It matches the Rfam family "Bacterial large subunit ribosomal RNA", at positions 2800 to 2925 of the family's 2925-position model. Lineage: Bacteria; Pseudomonadati; Pseudomonadota; Gammaproteobacteria; Enterobacterales; Enterobacteriaceae. The record is from RNAcentral.
CGAGAUGAAUCUUCCCUGAGCCUUUAAGGCUCCUGAAGGAACGUUGAAGACGACGACGUUGAUAGGCCGGGUGUGUAAGCGCAGCGAUGCGUUGAGCUAACCGGUACUAAUGAACCGUGAGGCUUAACCUUACAACGCCGAAG